RNAcentral lists this long non-coding RNA (1512 nucleotides) under Marmota monax (woodchuck). The record is from RNAcentral. Lineage: Eukaryota; Metazoa; Chordata; Mammalia; Rodentia; Sciuridae.
UUUUUUUUUAACUUUCAAAGCUGCCUCUGUCUCCACCCCACACUCUCUCAAGUACUGAGUGGACUUGGCAUUCUCAGGAUUGUCAAAGUCACCCAGGUUUCCUGGGCUCAGACAAACUCCUGCAGGACUACCCCAUCCGAAUAAUUGCUGAAGGCUCGAUUCCUCAAAUGAAAUGAAACCUCUUUCAGGGUGAUCUGUCUCGCUCAGGCUCCCAGCCUGGGGAUGAGCCUUGCUUCCAGGCGAGCUCCUCCGGUUUUCUCCAUCCUGUCCUGUGCUCAGAGAGUCUCCAUAGCCAUCUUCCCCAAAUAGGGUUUUCCUUCCCCUUCCUGAGCUGGGUCCUCCUGUGCUCACCUCUACUCAGCCUUCCACGAAUGAUUCUAUCACAGAGAACAAGGCUCUUCUGACCAGGGCAGGAGGGGAGGACACAGAAAAAGUUAAAGUUGUAGUUUUAACCCCAAAAGCAGAGGGCUUGAGAAGAGAGGAAAGAGAAUCAGAACAGCUUGAGACGAAACAGAAAAAGGGAAACCGACAAGGAGUUCAGUACAAAACAGGUGUCUGAUGGGACCUCAGCAAAGCAGGCAACAAAUCCAGCUCAGGAGGGUAGACGACAGGGCCCCUGGCCAAGGCCAGACGUCCUGCAUUUGUGACAUGAAUAGGCAGUUUUACAGAUUGGUUCAAAUGUGUGCUGCACAUUGGAAUGUGUGGGAGCGUGAGUUGCGGGUGGAUGGCGUAAAGUGAGGCGGGAGCCCCGUUGAAAUCCAUUCUCCACUGGGCUAAGUGUAAAUGUUUUUAUUUAUUACCUUUUCCUUUUUUAAAUCAUAGUGAAAUUGACCUCUAGACCACAGAGGGUGGUGAAGUUUCUGUCAGGGUCUUAUCCUCAAAUCGCCUCCCGGAGAACUUCAUUUUAAAAAGUGGAGAGCAGGCAGAGGGAGUCUGUUCUUGGUUUGAAGCUUGCCCAGAAUCCAGGUGGGAAAGACUAAGACACCAGAAACCCACUGGCUAUUCUCCCGAGGUCCCCUCUCAGUGGCAGCCAAGUGGUGUCAUUUAGACUUCCUAAGCAGAGUAUGGUUACAAAGGUGCGGGAACAGCCCGUGAAACUUCCAGUCCUGGGUGUGGUGGAGUCCCUUCGAGGCCGGUAGGACUUGACAAUUUGGCUAGUGGAGAGUUUCUUCUGUGGCGACUGAGCAAAUGUAUGUGUGUAUUUUAUUUGCAGAGCACCCUCUGUGCGCUGGCUCUGUGCGGCCCAGGGGACACAGUAGGGCCCGAGACAGGUGCAGUGCCUGCCCCAGUGGAGCUUAGGAUCCAUCAACGGCCAGAGGAUCAGGAUAUGGAGAGCCCCACAGAGAGCUCAGACGGCCUCCCACCCUCACCUCUCCCCGCAUAGCCUUCUCUUUCCUCCCCUCCUUGAUUUUUCUUUCCUGAACAGAAUUCAGCCAAGCUCACUUUAAAACAGAGAAGCCUACUGUGACAAUUUAGAUGGAGGCAGCCCAGCACAGGGGACACGGCACAGGC